RNAcentral lists this ribosomal RNA (253 nucleotides) under uncultured bacterium. RNAcentral's name for it is "partial 16S ribosomal RNA". It matches the Rfam family "Bacterial small subunit ribosomal RNA", at positions 524 to 776 of the family's 1533-position model. The record is from RNAcentral.
UACGGGGGGGGCAAGCGUUGUUCGGAAUUACUGGGCGUAAAGGGCUCGUAGGUGGCUAACUAAGUCGGACGUGAAAUCCCUCGGCUUAACCUGGGAAUUGCGCUUGAAACUGGCGGGCUGGAGUGCGGCAGAGGGGGGUGGAAUUCCACGUGUAGCAGUGAAAUGCGUAGAGAUGUGGAGGAACACCGAUGGCGAAGGCAGCCCCCUGGGCCGACACUGACGCUCAGGCACGAAAGCGUGGGGAGCAAACAGG